UGGCGAACGGGUGAGUAACGCGUGAGGAACCUGCCUCAAAGAGGGGGACAACAGUUGGAAACGACUGCUAAUACCGCAUAAGCCCACGGCUCGGCAUCGAGCAGAGGGAAAAGGAGCAAUCCGCUUUGAGAUGGCCUCGCGUCCGAUUAGCUAGUUGGUGAGGUAACGGCCCACCAAGGCGACGAUCGGUAGCCGGACUGAGAGGUUGAACGGCCACAUUGGGACUGAGACACGGCCCAGACUCCUACGGGAGGCAGCAUG
This 261-nucleotide ribosomal RNA is filed under the name uncultured bacterium. RNAcentral describes it as "partial 16S ribosomal RNA". It matches the Rfam family "Bacterial small subunit ribosomal RNA", at positions 96 to 353 of the family's 1533-position model. The record is from RNAcentral.